This 266-nucleotide ribosomal RNA is filed under the name Abavorana luctuosa (mahogany frog). Its description in RNAcentral is "partial 16S ribosomal RNA". The stretch from base 1 to 141 matches the Rfam family "Bacterial large subunit ribosomal RNA", at positions 2502 to 2643 of the family's 2925-position model. The record is from RNAcentral. Lineage: Eukaryota; Metazoa; Chordata; Amphibia; Anura; Ranidae.
UUAUCGACAGUAGGUUUACGACCUCGAUGUUGGAUCAGGGUACCCCAGUAGUGCAGCCGCUACUAAUGGUUCGUUUGUUCAACGAUUAAAACCCUACGUGAUCUGAGUUCAGACCGGAGCAAUCCAGGUCGGUUUCUAUCUAUAAAGCGUUCCCCCUAGUACGAAAGGACCGGGACAACAUGGCCAAUGCUCAAGUAAGCCCUACUCUUUUACUAAUGAAAUGUUCUCAAUUAGCCUAGACCUAUUACCCACCCCUAGAUCAGGGG